GGUUCUCCUGCCUCAGACUCCCAAGUAGCUGGGACCCAGAUGUGUGCCACCACACCUGGCUAAUUAUUAUUAUUAUUAUUGUUGUAGAGACAGGGUCUCACCAUCUUGCCCAGACUGGUCUUGGACUCUUGGCCUCAGGCGAUCCUCCUACCUUGGCCUCCCAAAGUGCUGGAAUUACAGGUUGAGGAGGCCUGGGGAAACUCAGCUUACAGCCAUAUUUGUACUAGAAGAUUUUCGGUACAACUGGAGGGCAACAAUAUAUAUCAUCAUGCUGCUGAACAUGCAGGUGUCUUAGAAUUUGGUAUGCUAAAAGAACUUUUGAAACAUGUAUUAAUUGGCACAUUACUGUUUUGAAGUUUAGCAGUGUUAUAUAUAUUUUCUUAGGUUUUGUGUUUGAAAAUAGAAUUCAUAAAAUAUGAGUAAAUUAAAAGCAUAUGUGAACAACUUUUAAUACUUACAUAUUAUUACUUCUCAUCUCAUUGAGUAGAGAAGGCUUUGAGGAAG
This 504-nucleotide long non-coding RNA is filed under the name Callithrix jacchus (white-tufted-ear marmoset). RNAcentral's name for it is "lncRNA (ENSCJAG00000073075.1)". The record is from RNAcentral. Lineage: Eukaryota; Metazoa; Chordata; Mammalia; Primates; Cebidae.